ACGCUCGACACCUACGGAGGCAGCAGUGGGGAAUAUUGCACAAUGGGGGAAACCCUGAUGCAGCGACGCCGCGUGAAGGAAGAAGUAUUUCGGUAUGUAAACUUCUAUCAGCAGGGAAGAAAAUGACGGUACCUGAGUAAGAAGCACCGGCUAAAUACGUGUCAGCAGCCGCGGUAAUCUGAGCGGGCUGGCAAGGC
RNAcentral lists this ribosomal RNA (197 nucleotides) under uncultured bacterium. RNAcentral describes it as "partial 16S ribosomal RNA". It matches the Rfam family "Bacterial small subunit ribosomal RNA", at positions 328 to 539 of the family's 1533-position model. The record is from RNAcentral.